CCUACGGGGGGCAGCAGUGGGGAAUAUUGCACAAUGGGGGAAACCCUGAUGCAGCGACGCCGCGUGAGCGAAGAAGUAUCUCGGUAUGUAAAGCUUCAUCAGCAGGGAAGAAAAUGACGGUACCUGAGUAAGAAGCCCCGGCUAAAUACGGGCCAGCAGCGGCGGUAAUACGUAUGGAGCAAGCGUUAUCCGGAUUUACUGGGCGUUAAGGGAGCGUAGGCGGCUUGCCAAGGCAGAUGUGAAAUACCGGGGCUCAACCCCGGGGCUGCAUUGGAAACUGGCAGGCUGGAGUGCCGGAGAGGCAGGCGGAAUUCCUGGUGUAGCGGUGAAAUGCGUAGAUAUUAGGAGGAACACCGGUGGCGAAGGCGGCCUGCUGGACGGUGACUGACGCUGAGGCUCGAAAGCGUGGGGAGCAAACAGGAUUAGAUACCCUUGUAGUC
Molecule: ribosomal RNA, 440 nt
Filed under: uncultured bacterium
Lineage: Bacteria
Description: partial 16S ribosomal RNA
Rfam family: Bacterial small subunit ribosomal RNA
Source: RNAcentral